Molecule: ribosomal RNA, 2989 nt
Filed under: Johnson-sea-linkia profunda
Lineage: Eukaryota; Viridiplantae; Chlorophyta; Ulvophyceae; Bryopsidales; Halimedaceae
Description: large subunit ribosomal RNA
Rfam family: Bacterial large subunit ribosomal RNA
Source: RNAcentral
AAAAAAAAUUCCUGCUUUAGGUGAAUACCUAAGGACUCAAAGAUGAUGAAGGGCGUUGAAACCUGCGAAAAUUUCUAGUUAGCUGGAAAAAAGCAUAGGCGAAAGCCAUAUCUAGAAGUUCCCGAAUAGAGCAAUCUUUCAAACUACUGAACGAAUUCAUAACUCAGUAAGAAAAAACUUAGUGAACUGAAACAUCUUAUUAACUAAAGGAAAAAAAAGCAAAAUGCGAUUUCCUGAGUAGCGGCGAGCGAAACGGAAGAUGCCUAAACUAAACUAAAAUAUAAAUAUUCUUAAUUCUUAGUGUUGUGGGAUUCAAAAAAAAGGUGGAAAAGGGGAAUUUAAGCAGCUGAAACCUGUACCAUAGAUGGUGAAAGUCCAGUUUUUUUCUCUUUUCUUUUUUUAGAGAAUAUCCCAAGUAGCUUGGGACACGCGAAAUCCCUUGUGAAUCAACGAGGACCACCUCGUAAGGCUAAAUACUCUUGAGUCACUGAUAGUGAAGAGUACCGUGAGGGAAAGGUGAAAAAGAACCCAUAUAGGGGAGUGAAAUAGAUCAUGAAACCUAAAGCAAUCAAUCUGUGGGAGGAGGCUUUGAACUCUGACCGCGUGCCUGUUGAAGAAUGAGCCAGCGACUCAUAAUUUUUGGCUAGGUUAAAGAAAUUUUCUGGAGCCAGAGUGAAAACAAGUCAAAAAAGGGCGUCAUGUCAAAAAUUAUGGACCCGAACCCGUUGUGAUCUAACCAUGACCAGGAGGAAGCGGAGGUAAAACUUCGUGGACGUCCGAACCGACCAAUGUUGAAAAAUUGACGGAUGAGUUGUGGUUAGGGGUGAAAUGCCAAUCGAACACGGAGCUAGCUGGUUCUCCCCGAAAUGCGUUUUGGCGCAGCAUUUGUCGAUGAACUAUGAAGAGGUAGAGCUCUGUUUCGGUGCGGGCCAGUCAAAUGGUACUAAAUUGUUGCAAACUCCAAAUUCUUUCUAUGUUAUAGAACCGACAAAAAGUGAGACUCUGGGGGAUAAGCUCCAGAGUCCAAAGGGAAACAGCCCAGACCAUCAGCUAAGGCCCCUAAAUAAUGGCUAAGUGUUAAAGGAAGUCUUAAUGCUGAAACAGCCAGGAGGUUCGCUUAGAAGCAGCUAUCCUUGAAAGAAUGCGUAAUAGCUCACUGGUUCAUUAAAUCUAAAUCAUUAAAUCAUUAAAUCAUUAAAUAAUUAAAUAAUUAAAUAAUUAAAUCAUUAAAGCGUUAAUGCGCCAAAAAUGUGUGGGACUAAGCCAUUUGCCGAAGCUAUGGGAGAUUUUCUAUCUCGGUAGGGGAGCGUUCUGUUUAGAGAGGUGAAGUCUUUUUGAAAAAAAAGUUGGAUCAAACAGAAGUGAGAAUGUUGGCUUGAGUAACGAAAACAUUGGUGAGAAUCCAAUGCCCCAAAAACCUAAGGUUUCCUCCACAAGGUUCGUCCAUGGAGGGUUAGUCAGGACCUAAAAUUAGGCUGAAAAGCGUCAUUGAUGGAGAACAGGUUAAUAGUCCUGUACUCAUUUGAAUUUGGUGACAAAGGACGAAGAAGGCAAUAAACGAUGGCGAUAAUGGUUGUCAUGGAAAUGUUGACACAAGAUUAAAGAAAAAAAAUUUUAAUCAAUAUGGAAAGACAUGAACCAGCGUUUUUUUUAGUGAAAAAUGUUCGAUAAAAUGUUGUCAGACUUCCAAGAAAAUUUUGUGACACUGAAGAAUUCAAAUGACCUGUACCUUAAACCGACACAGGUAGGUGAGUUGAGUAUACGAAGGGGCGCGAGAAAACUCUCUCUAAGGAACUCGGCAAAAUAGCCCCGUAACUUCGGGAGAAGGGGUACCUUUAUUUUAUUCAUAAAAUAAAAGGUCGCAGUGAAUGGAUUUAUCGAACUGUUUAUCAAAAACACAGGUCUCUGCAAAGUCGUAAGACAACGUAUAGGGGCUGACGCCUGCCCAGUGCCGGAAGGUUAAAGAAAUUGGUUAACGCUGAUAACUGAAGCCCCGGUGAACGGCGGCCGUAACUCUAAAAAAACCGUUGGAGUUAUAAGCGAAAUUCCUUGUCACGUAAGUUGUGACCCGCACGAAAGGCGUAAUCAGAUAAAUACUGUCUCAGAGAGAGACUCGGUGAAAUAGACAUGUCCGUGAAGAUGCGGACUUCUAAUAGUUAGACAAAAAGACCCCGUGAAGCUUGACUGUAUCUUAAUAUUGGCUUCCAGUUAUUUGUGUGCAGUCUAGGUGGGAGGUGAUGAAAUUCAAUAAUUGAAUGGAGCCGUCAUUGAGAGACCACCCUCAAAUAACGAGAAUUCUCAAAGUGUUUCCUUUUAUCAGGACACUUGACAGUGUUAGGAGGGCAGUUUUUUUGGGGCGAAAAUCUCCUAAAAAGUAACGGAGGUUUGCAAAGGUUCCCUCAAACUGGACGGAAAUCAGUUGUUGAGUGUAAAGGCAAAAGGGAGCUUGACUGUGAGACCUAUAAGUCGAACAGAGGCGAAAGCCGGCCUUAGUGAUCCGACGGUUACCGUGUGGAAGGGCCGUCGCGCAAAAAAUAAAAGUUACUCCGGGGAUAACAGGCUCAUCUCCCCCAAGAGUUCAUAUCGACGGGGAGGUUUGGCACCUCGAUGUUGACCUUUCGCAACCUGGGGCGGUAGUCCGUCCCAAGGGUUGGGCUGUUCGCCCAUUAAAGCGGAACACGAGUUGAGUUCAGAACGUAGAGACAGUUUGGUCUAUAUCUGCUAUUAGCGUUAGAAUAUUGAAAGGAGUUUUCCUUAAUACGAGAGGACUUGGAAGAACAUACCACUGGUGUACCAGUUCUUCAACCAUGAGGAAAUGCUGGGUAGCUAUGUAUGGAGAAGAGUACCGCUGAAGGCAUCUAAGUGGGAAGCUCACCUUAAGAUGAAUAUUCUCGAAAAGAUUCCGGCAAGAUCAGCCGGUUGAUAGGUUUUAGGUGUAAGAUUCGUAAGAAUUUUAGCCAAGAAAUACUAAAAAUCGAUUGUUUUUGAU